This 659-nucleotide ribosomal RNA is filed under the name Pseudomonas aeruginosa. RNAcentral's name for it is "bacterial SSU rRNA". It matches the Rfam family "Bacterial small subunit ribosomal RNA", at positions 122 to 776 of the family's 1533-position model. The record is from RNAcentral. Lineage: Bacteria; Pseudomonadati; Pseudomonadota; Gammaproteobacteria; Pseudomonadales; Pseudomonadaceae.
GAAUCUGCCUGGUAGUGGGGGAUAACGUCCGGAAACGGGCGCUAAUACCGCAUACGUCCUGAGGGAGAAAGUGGGGGAUCUUCGGACCUCACGCUAUCAGAUGAGCCUAGGUCGGAUUAGCUAGUUGGUGGGGUAAAGGCCUACCAAGGCGACGAUCCGUAACUGGUCUGAGAGGAUGAUCAGUCACACUGGAACUGAGACACGGUCCAGACUCCUACGGGAGGCAGCAGUGGGGAAUAUUGGACAAUGGGCGAAAGCCUGAUCCAGCCAUGCCGCGUGUGUGAAGAAGGUCUUCGGAUUGUAAAGCACUUUAAGUUGGGAGGAAGGGCAGUAAGUUAAUACCUUGCUGUUUUGACGUUACCAACAGAAUAAGCACCGGCUAACUUCGUGCCAGCAGCCGCGGUAAUACGAAGGGUGCAAGCGUUAAUCGGAAUUACUGGGCGUAAAGCGCGCGUAGGUGGUUCAGCAAGUUGGAUGUGAAAUCCCCGGGCUCAACCUGGGAACUGCAUCCAAAACUACUGAGCUAGAGUACGGUAGAGGGUGGUGGAAUUUCCUGUGUAGCGGUGAAAUGCGUAGAUAUAGGAAGGAACACCAGUGGCGAAGGCGACCACCUGGACUGAUACUGACACUGAGGUGCGAAAGCGUGGGGAGCAAACAGG